GGGGUCUGCCCCUUCACAUGGCGAUGUCUCCGGCAGGUCCCGGCCGCCCGGGCCACACAGGGGCAGCACCUGCGGUGGUCCUCUCCUUUAGAAGCAUUGCAUCUGCACUGCUGUGUGGGGAAGCCGAUAGAGAUUGCCGUGAGAUGACAGCGCUCCUUCAGUCAAACCACGUGAAUUUCCAGCACAGGAGCGUGGGACACUCAGGGCGAUGCGAUGUGAUGUGAUACAAAGGGUUUUUUCAGAGGCUCUUUCAAAAACUGCUACCGCUGUUCUUUCCCUCUCCUUCCACCUGAAGGUCGGUAAUACAGCUCUGCGUCCCCAGGGAUGGGGUUCAAAGGAGCCACAGAAAACCCUCAGGCUGACCUCAAACCAUUUUCUCAGUUUUCUUUAUGUGAGACUUGGGGGAUUUUGGAAGGAAUUUCCAAACACAACUAAAUACCAACAUGAGACAAAAUGGAUAUUACAAAUAACUCCUCGUAGAGGCUGAAAUUACUGAAAUGAACUGUCAGGAUUCUUAGAAAAUAUCAUAGAAUGGCCUGGGUUGAAAAGGACCAUGGUGAUCAUCGAGCUUCAACCCCCAAAUAUCAAACCUACUACAUUGGUUUUAAAGCUCGGAGUCAAGAAGAUGUUGGAAAUAAUAUACACUUUAGAGACAUUAUAAGUCAUCAAAACACUGUGCUGUGAAUAAAAGGCUUUCUCUUUUGUAACAACAUUUUAAAGACGUUUUGUGCUUUGCUUUCCUAAAGGCAACACUGCUUUUAUCGCUAGCAAAUUGGGAUGAGUACGUGCACGUGUUGUAUUGUGAUGGCAAAGGAGGUUCUUCCAUAGAGAAAUUAAUAAAUCUCUAAUUGAUCGUUGAGAA
This is a long non-coding RNA of Gallus gallus (chicken), 862 nucleotides long. RefSeq lists it as uncharacterized. NCBI's taxonomy places the organism in Eukaryota, Metazoa, Chordata, Aves, Galliformes, Phasianidae. The record is from RefSeq and is a predicted model, not a curated record. The transcript has 2 exons.